AGGGGCAUCGGGAUUGAAGCUUGCUUCAAUUGCCGGCGACCGGCGCACGGGUGCGUAACGCGUAUGUAACCUACCUAUAACAGGGGCAUAACACUGAGAAAUUGGUACUAAUUCCCCAUAAUAUUCGGAGAGGCAUCUCUCCGGGUUGAAAACUCCGGUGGUUAUAGAUGGACAUGCGUUGUAUUAGCUAGUUGGUGAGGUAACGGCUCACCAAGGCAACGAUACAUAGGGGGACUGAGAGGUUAACCCCCCACACUGGUACUGAGACACGGACCAGACUCCUACGGGAGGCAGCAGUGAGGAAUAUUGGUCAAUGGACGCAAGUCUGAACCAGCCAUGCCGCGUGCAGGAAGACGGCUCUAUGAGUUGUAAACUGCUUUUGUACGAGGGUAAACUCACCUACGUGUAGGUGACUGAAAGUAUCGUACGAAUAAGGAUCGGCUAACUCCGUGCCAGCAGCCGCGGUAAUACGGAGGAUUCAAGCGUUAUCCGGAUUUAUUGGGUUUAAAGGGUGCGUAGGCGGUUUGAUAAGUUAGAGGUGAAAUCCCGGGGCUUAACUCCGGAACUGCCUCUAAUACUGUUAGACUAGAGAGUAGUUGCGGUAGGCGGAAUGUAUGGUGUAGCGGUGAAAUGCUUAGAGAUCAUACAGAACACCGAUUGCGAAGGCAGCUUACCAAACUAUAUCUGACGUUGAGGCACGAA
This 702-nucleotide ribosomal RNA is filed under the name uncultured Bacteroidales bacterium. RNAcentral describes it as "bacterial SSU rRNA". It matches the Rfam family "Bacterial small subunit ribosomal RNA", at positions 65 to 757 of the family's 1533-position model. Lineage: Bacteria; Pseudomonadati; Bacteroidota; Bacteroidia; Bacteroidales. The record is from RNAcentral.